Molecule: long non-coding RNA, 662 nt
Filed under: Salvia miltiorrhiza (redroot sage)
Lineage: Eukaryota; Viridiplantae; Streptophyta; Magnoliopsida; Lamiales; Lamiaceae
Description: long non-coding RNA (SMIL_LNC014125)
Source: RNAcentral
AAACAACAACGGAGAACCAAAAACCCUUGAAAGCACAAGGCUGCAGACUAAGGGCCGAGCCUCGUUAAAACCUCAUAACAGAUGAGGAAAAAGAGUACUCGUCAAGGACCAAGGUUGACAGAGCUGAGUUAGGAGGUCUCAAGGAUUCCGGCCGAACCAUUACCCUUAGGCCUCCCGGCUCGCAACCGAUCCAAACAAAAGAAAAGAAGACCAAAAAAUCAAGCGAAACGAGUAAAAUAGGGAAUAGAAACAUCCUCCUUGACAAAAUCAUGUAAACCAGCAAUGGCAUGAGGCCAAAAACCCUCCUCCGAAGCUUGAGAAGCCAAAAAAUCCGCCGAUCUGUUGCCCUCACGAAAAAUGUGAGAAAUGCGCCACGUGAAAGUAUGGAGUUUGGAGAGAGCAAGCUGCCACCUAGGCUUGAAUCUCCAAGGAACCGUCUCAGAGAGCGACUGAAGAAGCUGAACCACGUAAGAAGAAUCCGACUCAAACCAAACUCUCUCCCAUUUGGCACGAUGCGCAGAUUCAAUCGCAAUAAUAAUAGCUAAAAGCUCUGCUUCGAACGCAACCCCCUGGCCGCCUGAGAAAUGAUAACAACCAAGAACGUCAUUGAAGGCAUUCCUAAAGACGCCCCCCGCAUGAAUCCUCCCUUCACGAACCGAACC